Molecule: ribosomal RNA, 465 nt
Filed under: Vreelandella stevensii
Lineage: Bacteria; Pseudomonadati; Pseudomonadota; Gammaproteobacteria; Oceanospirillales; Halomonadaceae
Description: partial 16S ribosomal RNA
Rfam family: Bacterial small subunit ribosomal RNA
Source: RNAcentral
CCUACGGGUGGCAGCAGUGGGGAAUAUUGGACAAUGGGCGAAAGCCUGAUCCAGCCAUGCCGCGUGUGUGAAGAAGGCCUUCGGGUUGUAAAGCACUUUCAGUGGGGAAGAAAGCCUUGGGGCUAAUACCCUCGAGGAAGGACAUCACCCACAGAAGAAGCACCGGCUAACUCCGUGCCAGCAGCCGCGGUAAUACGGAGGGUGCGAGCGUUAAUCGGAAUUACUGGGCGUAAAGCGCGCGUAGGCGGUCUGAUAAGCCGGUUGUGAAAGCCCCGGGCUCAACCUGGGAACGGCAUCCGGAACUGUCAGGCUAGAGUGCAGGAGAGGACGGUAGAAUUCCCGGUGUAGCGGUGAAAUGCGUAGAGAUCGGGAGGAAUACCAGUGGCGAAGGCGGUCUUCUGGACUGACACUGACGCUGAGGUGCGAAAGCGUGGGUAGCAAACAGGAUUAGAUACCCCUGUAGUC